This 279-nucleotide ribosomal RNA is filed under the name uncultured bacterium. RNAcentral's name for it is "partial 16S ribosomal RNA". It matches the Rfam family "Bacterial small subunit ribosomal RNA", at positions 506 to 784 of the family's 1533-position model. The record is from RNAcentral.
UGCCAGCAGCCGCGGUAAUACGGAGGGUGCAGGCGUUGUUCGGAAUCAUUGGGCGUAAAGCGAGCGUAGGCGGGUCGGUAAGUCGGGUGUGAAAGCCCUCGGCUCACCCGAGGAAGUGCAUUCGAAACUACCGACCUUGAGUACCGGAGAGGAAAGUGGAAUUCCCGGUGUAGAGGUGAAAUUCGUGGAUAUCGGGAGGAACACCAGUGGCGAAGGCGACUUUCUGGACGGACACUAACGCUAAGGCUCGAAAGCGUGGGGAGCAAACAGGAUUAGAUA